This is a long non-coding RNA of Drosophila mauritiana, 633 nucleotides long. RefSeq lists it as uncharacterized. The record is from RefSeq and is a predicted model, not a curated record. Lineage: Eukaryota; Metazoa; Arthropoda; Insecta; Diptera; Drosophilidae. The transcript has 3 exons.
GAGCUCGUCUGGAGCACAACUCGUUUCGGAACGAAAAAUCUAAAAAUUUCGAAAUUAUUGUGUAAUUGCUAAGCUACAAAUUGUACAAGCAAACCAAAAAAAAAAAACUACACAGAAAUCGUACAACAUUUGUGUUUCUAGAGUUUCAUGCUUUUGUUGACUCAAAUACUCGCCAUUGCUUUUUGUAAAGACUUGAAAGCAAUGGCAACGGAUUGCAAAGCAACCGCUUAACACAAAAAACGCCGUCCUGCUGAAUGAGGGGUUUGCUUGAAGUUUAACAUAUUAUACUUAAUCGACUUAUCACUACAUGCUUAUAUAUACUAUCGUGGAAUUGGAGUUUCAUGCUUUUGUUAACUUAAAUACUCGCCAUUGCUUUUUGUAAAGCAGAAAUGGGAAAGAAAUUUUGCAACGCAUCUGGAUAAUUGGUGAUGGGCAUCUCCUUCGGAAUCUGACAAUUCGAUAACGGGAUUACACAUAUUGCAGUCAAAUCGAUGGCACCGGUCCCGUUGGACAGUAGCUUGCAUCGAAUCUAACAUGUUAUACAACACUACUCGACCUAAAACUAUGGUCUUAUAUGGGAUAAUGUGCGUUUAGAAGGGUUAAAAAUAAAAUAUUGUUAAAUUAAAGCGGAAA